UCUUUUAUUGUUAAUUGAAAAAGAAUAACUUUUGUGCUUUGCUAGUUCACAUACAUUACAAUGAAUAACUUCAACAAAUAAUCCUUAGAAAUAUAAAUAUGUUCAAGAAUACUAAAUCAUAGGCGAUAAAAUGAAAAUGUUGAAGCCAAAUUUUGUAUUUAUAAAAUUUAAAUGACUUGGAAAGAAAUGGGAAGGCGAAGAACACGCAACACUAGCUUUUUCAACUGAUCUUCAGGAUAAUCCCUCUCUCUAGCAAGACCAAUUAUCCUUUCGUUCCAUGUUUCUGGAACACACAAUGAUAAGGAUAACAAAUUAAAUGACAAUUAUAAUCUUUGGUUAGUUUCUGCAUCGACACAAAUUGGUAUAUAAUUUUGGAACAUGAAGAACAAAUAAGUGUAAGAGUUAUUUAUAAAAAUAUCUCCUUGACGUGUACAUGCUACAAUUAUUUAUUUAUUACUAGGACACAAGUAUAUGAGAGAAAUAUUUGUGAGGAGCAUGUCAUAGAUCGAUAACCCAGUUACUGGAAGAGACAUUAAGGUCCCGUUUGGUAUCCAUUUUUUUCAAAAUGUAUUUUUCUUUCUUCUUUUCAACUAAACAUUCUUUAUUAAAAUAAUAUUACACGUAAAUCAAAAACUUUUUUUCAUUUUUCAACAACACAUUUUCAUCAAUUUACCAUUCUAAAAUGCAUUUUUACAUGAAAAUGAAUCUCAAACACUCUCUAAGAGUGGAAGAUGCCAAAGCGCAGGUACCUGUGUUAGAGGGCUUGUUUAAUGUACUUCUCAAUUUCUGUGUUUUCUUCCAUAUUUAACUGCUUGUGUCCUCCUUGAUUAGAUUAAUUAUGAGUUAAAUUUUGAAGUCCGUAUUGAUGUCCUAACUUCUUGCAAUAAGUGUACCAGUGUCUUUGUUCAAUGAUCUCAUCAGAUCUCUGUCUACUAUUUUCACCAUUGUGAUGCUACAUACUAGAAUUCUUCAUGUUUAUGUUUAUUGACACCAAAGCCUAACUCUCCAAUAUGGGAAUAUUAGGCAUAACUCUUAUUCCUUCUUCAGCAAGGAUUAAUGCAUAGCCUCAGUUAAUGAUGGUAGUGUCCAUGAGAUUGAAUAAGAUUAUGGAGAUCGUUGAAGAUUACGACUAUAUUAUGAAAUUAAAUGUCAAAAAACUUCGCAAAAGAUGGGUAGAUUAGAGUUGAACAUAGUAAAAUAAGAAAUUGAAAGAUUUCGUUGAAAUUGUUCGUUUGGAAAUUUCCUGAAAAGCUAAUUAUAGGUUCUUCUCCGGCCCUUUCCUAAUCGGGGCUAAAAUCCUGAAAAUGAAAAAUGCCAAGCUAAUUUGAGAAAAAGUUGAAGGAAAGGGAUGAGGCGAAUCUAGCUUUCUGACGAGCUAAAGGUUCUCUAUUGAUUUGAACACUACACCUUUGGGAUAGGGAUAGAGGAAAAGGAAUGUCUUAUCAGUAAAAUUUUCAUUUAUCCGCAAUCUAGGCAUAGGUAGCAAUGGGGGUGGUCUACAGGGUUUAUAACUACUCCUCUUACUAUAGAAUGCUUACCUAGCCAUAGUCCCAUAUUUAGUAAUUUUGAUGUUUUUAGUUGUUGGGCUGAUUAAAAAGAGGAAAUUAGACUUUUGGAUACGUGGGCUUCUUUAAGAUUAGGUAUUGAUUGGCCUUGGAUUUUUUCCCCUUUCUAUGGUGUUUCGCGAGUACAAUGGCAGAACAAUGGUGACCAUGAGAAUGCAUAGGAAAGAGAGAGACAUGGGAGUGUAGAUCAUUGAGUUUUGGAUGCUCGAGUGAUGAGCAAUAAUUUUGGAUUCUCAGAGGAAGAUCAUCUUUGAUUUUUUUUUUCGUAUUCCCUGUUCUGUGCGAUUUCUUUAGCAUUGUGGCGAGUAAUAUAUUGCUGAAUUUUGGUUGGUGCAUUGGCCGUUAGAACUUUUGUUGGAACAUGUAUUAUAUGUUCGAUUGAGUUCUCCGACUGAUAGAGCACAUUGUGUAUUGGUACACUUCGUGAAUUUCUUUUGAAAAUUCUUCUUAGGGAGUGAGCUCUCUAGAGUGGCUUCAAAGUGUUCUUGGAAUGAUUUUGAAGUAGUUUUUGACUGUUUGUGCUCUAUUUGUUCUUGAUUUUAUUGUCGUCACUAUUAUUCAUAUAUAGCCGCUGUGAUUUGGGUCUCUUCUUCAUGUACACGAGCAUUGUUACUACUGUAAGUUUAUGAUUUCAAAUUAAUACUUUUACCAUCAUCAAUAUGAGAGGAUGUCAAUGAAAUUGAAUAAAAUUAUGAAGAUCGUCGAAGAUUACGAUUAUAAUUGAACCACAUUUAGAUAAAUUACUUUUACCAUAUUUAAUUUGAUUUUUAUUCUAUAUAGGAACCUUUCACAUUGAGGGACAUUGAGUUUUAUUGAGUAUAUUCAACAUAUAAGCCAUCAUUUCCAAGUAUUUGUCUUUACUGAAUGAAACUUAAAAAUUGAUCUGGUAAAAAAAUCAUAAUUUCGAACUUUCUCAAUGAACCUCUUAGGAGCAUCAUCUUAACCUUGAUGAUUGAUAAUUAUCCAUCUCCUGCCAUAAACUUUUUAAAAGGUUUGAAUAUUCGGUGAUCGAUUAAUCUCCCAGGAUUCAAGUCAAAUCGACCCUGUACGUAGUCUAUGUCUGGGGAGCAUACUUGACAGGAGAUAGACACAGGCGAUAGAGAGGUCCCCCACUUCGAUUCUCACCCUAUUAGCAUCUUCGAUCCGAGAUCCCUUGAAGCCCGCCUGCCAAAGGGCUAAGUGGAGUGAUUCCUCUUGUAGAGGAUUGUAGCUUGGUGACAAUAACCUUGAUUUUGAUUGCAUAGAUUUGUACAGCGUUACGUCUCAAAUAUAGAUUCUAUUUUUAUAUAGAAUCAAAAUCACAGCUAAAAUAAUAACUAUUAAUUACAAUAUUAAUUAAUUGUAACAUAUUAAAUAUGGUAACUUCCCUUAUAUUCAAGCUUUCCUAAUAUUCUAUUGACAUUCCCCUCAAAUUUAUACUGGGAAAGCAUCAAUUUGCAAUCAUGAUGUGGCGACGAUGACAAUGCUCGUGCCCACGAAGAAGAAACCCAAAUCACAACCAUCUAUGAAAAAACAUUCCAAAAACACUCCAUAGCCACUCUAGAGAGCUCACACCAUAAGAAGAAUUUUCAAAAGAAAUUCACAACAUGUGCCAACCAUACAAUGAAGCCUAGUAGUCGGAAAACUCAGCAGAGUACAUAAUACCUGUUCCAACAAAAACUUUAAUAGCCAAUGCACUGGUCAAAAAUUCAAUAAUUUAUCGUUGGCUAAGAUGUUGCAAUUGGAAAAAAUCCUACCGACUAGCCUACACAAAAUACUCAACGAUGAUCCUCGUUUGAGAAUCCAAAAUCACCCAAGGUUGAUCCUUUUCUAAGAAUCCAACACUCUAGCUCAUCAUACGAAAGUCAUAAGCACAACAACAAACAUUUUCACAACUACCAAGAAAACUGGAUGAAAGGAGUUCCUCAUGCCGUAAGAAAACCCUACUAAGAGAAUAGGAGAAAAUUCUAAGGAACUGGCUUUGAUAAUAUGUCAAAUAUCCUCAAUGAUACUCAAUAAAAUUCGAUGUGGUUCUCACAUUGUAGAAUCAAACUCUCAACUAAAUAUGUCAGCUAUCAAUUAUGAUAUUCAUUAAUGAUAACUUUCCUUAUAUUCGAGCUUUUCUUAUAUUUUACCGACAUCAUGGACCUUGGUGUAAGUCUUAUGACAACCUCCCCUACAUAUUUAGCCUUUGUUCAAAAACAUGCACGUGCCACGAAUUUCUGGCACUAUAUAGAUCCACAAUCAGGAUAUCACCAUUGAGUCGUGUUCAUCCAUAAAAUUGAAUUUUUGAUUCCCUAUUUUAUGCUCAAUACCUAAUCAACAAAAUAAGGAAACUUACCAAAAAAUAGAAGAUAUAGAUCAAAUAAAAAACAAUUCCAAAAAAUCAGGGAUUGAAAUAAAUCCUAAAGGUAAGCAAUUAUUGAGUUGUUUGUCAAAAGAAUUAGAAAUAAAAGAUUUGGGAAUUUUUGGAAAUUGAAGUGGCCUGGUCAAACAGUAUGAUAGUUAUAUCUCGGUGAAAAUACGUAUUGGACUUAAAGAGACAAAUGAUUGUGUGCAAACUACCUAUCGUAUCGAACCUAAUAAUAAACUUUGGUCCAUUCUAGAGGGAGAUCCAGUAGAAGGAAAGUAUUAAAGGCUGGUAGGAAAACUCGUCUACUUAUCUCACACAUGGCAUGACAUGACAUGGUCUAUGCCGUGAGUAUUUCAAGUCAAUUUAUGCCCUCACCAUUAUAGUAUCAUGUGCAUGCAAUCUAGAAAUCUUGAGGUAAACUUAUGUUUUCUAAGAAUGACCAUGUCAUUGGGUGGGAUCUACACUAGAUAGUUCAACCAAGGUUAUCCCACCUUUGUUGGAGGUCAUUUGGCUACUUGGAGAAGAAAUAACAAAUCUAUUGUGGCAAGGUCGAGUAUAAAGGCUAAAUUACAAGUAAUAACUUAAUGAAUAUAUGAAAUAUAGGGAUUAGAAUUCUUUUCAAAGAACUUAAGUUGGAAGUCAUAGAACCCAUGAAGAUUUAUUUUGAUAACAAGUCGAUAAUUAGCAUUGUCCAUAAUCUAGUGCAACACGAUUGCAUCAAACAUGUUAAAGUAGAUUGACUUUUCAUCAAACAAAAAAUUAAAAGUGGACAGAUCUUGAAAUUCUUUGUUGUAUAUCUACGGCAACAUUUGAUUCCUUGAUUAGCAAGCUCGUACUAACUGGAAUAAAAGAAUUAGUAGAUUUGUUCCGACCAAAAUGGGAAUGGGCUAGGGUUAUGAACUUAUAAUCUAAUGAUCGAAUCGAUUCCAUGAUUAUAGUUCAUACUACACCAGACCGAAAUUGGGAUAUACAUUCUCAAAAGGUUAUUCUAGCAUAUCUAAAUAAAUACUAUAUUUACAUAUGAAUCCCUAUAUUGAUCCAUUCCACUUAGGAUUAGGAAUAAGCAUAAUCGGACCUGCUUUUCCUACUUUUCUUUGCUUUCGUAAUCCACUAGUUUAUGCACUCUCCAUGAAGCUCAUUGAGCGAUUGAAUAUUAAAAGGACAUUCCUGAAAUUGGUGGGGGAGCAAACGAAAGGUCAACUAGAAGAUAUUGAAAAUAUGUCGACGGAUAGUAAUUAACUUCCAGUAAGAAACAAUUAGUUGUGGCUAAUGAUACUACUUGAAGGUGCUACCAUGAAACUAGAAUAAUGCUAUUUGUACAUAAGCAGUUACAUAAUUGUUUGUAUACAAAUGAGAUGUCAAAAAGAGGGGAGAACUUAAAAAAAAAAAGGAAUUCUGACCCAAUUAUAUCUUACAUCACGUGUAUGUAAACUAUCAUGUAAAUCUAUUAUGAACAUAUAGCACAACCAAUAAAUCAUACCAUGGAAAUUAGGCAGCCCAUGCACAACUUAGUAAAAUGCAAUCAAGUUGGUUGCCUCAUUUUGGAUAAAUUAGAAAAAGAUGAUUUGUAUGUACCUUCUCUGCAAGAAUUAGCUGAUGUUCUAACCUAAAGAGAAUGUAGAAAUGCUUUGACACUAUAAAUAAGGUGGGAGAGUGGAGAACUCUUGAAGAUUUGAUCGAACAAAUUUCUUUUAGCUAGGCUUUGUUCUGGUUUUUAAUUAUUUUCUAUUUUACCAUUUAAUGGCUAGUUUCUUUGUUUUUUAGGUCUCCUUGUAUUAAUCUGCUAAUAAACAUUUUUGUACAAUACUUGUGUAGAAUGGCGGCAAAAUUAGAAUAUCUCCAUUAUUGCGUUCAGUAAAUUCCAUAGAUCUUGAGUACCCAACAAGCACUAGAAUGGAGAGGAGUCGAAAAGGAGAUGAGAGGAAAGAUAACGAGGGAAGGGGCAAAAAGAGUCAACAGAAUGAUAGGAAAAUUAGGAAAUUUGUAUUGUAUUCAAUAAUCUGAGUUCUGUUUCAAACAAAGCAUACCUCUCCUAACAUAGCGUCCUAACCUAAUCUAACUUAGAAAACUCCUAAAUAGAGUCAAAAUGUCAAAUGGAUGAAUUUAAAAUAAAACGAACACCUAAAUUUAGCUGUUUCUCUAGGACACUUAUAAUUCUGCAUCAUUUGUAAUCGACUAAAAAGAAUGUGACUUGGAUUAGUUAAACUCUAAAUACUCAUCCAAAACCUCCAAUACACCCAGGAAACCUUAUUUUCAGUAAUUCAAGUAAGAUCCAUAGAAUGCCAGUCUUCUAUAAUAACUACGUUUUUGGAUGCAACAACAUAAUCUGGAGCACAUAAUCAAUGAUACUGAUGGGUGGAAAAGAAGCAGCAAGGUCUCGUGGCGGUGGACAAGCAUCCUAACCUGGAAAUUGAAUAUGGCAACGUUGGAGGCUUAAACGUGCCUUGAUAAGAAUACAAGUCUGUCAAAUUGAAAUCUUUAUUAAUACUAUAGUACACUGACUAAUCAUGUACAUAUGCAUCAAUUCUAAAGUGCUUGAACAACGCAAAAAGGACGAAAGAGAGACAUAAAAGCUUUUUUGCAGCUUGUUUUGGGAGACACUCGGAAUGUGAACCAUGACAUAAUUAACAAUAUUAAAUUCAUUAUGCCUAUGACUGAAAUCAGGAGCAAAGUUUAGAGUUUUUGUUAAUUAAAACGACUGUGUCAUGUUUUAAAUCAUGCAUAUGAUCGCAAAGCUUAUGUAGCAGUUGGACUCAAAUCAACAGGAAAUGGGACAAUAUCAAGGGAUGGUGAGGUUAGAUACCAUGGACAAUCUCUAAAGUUCUAGCUGAUGGACCUAUGGAAAAAUUAUGGCAUACUUAACGAUAGGCAACACAAGAUUCCAAUUACCUCGUGUAUCCCUAAUUGAUGUAGUAUAAAAGUCACAUGCUCCACAAUAAAGAGAACAAAGAAAAUUGAAGAAGAGGGGGAAAAGAGAAAAAUGGAAAAGGGGAGGAGCCAAGAGAAAUUGAGAGAAUACGAACUUGUGCUAAAAACAUAGCAUACCCUUCUUUACAGAGGGUCCCAACUAAAAAAUAAAAAAAUCCCGGAAGUACAGCAAUUUAAAAUAAAAAUAAAAAUGACAUCUAAAUAAAUCCAACUUCAACAUGCUUAAAAUUUGCAUAAUUCCAGUGGUUAAGCUUACGUUCUUACCAACAACCAAAGAACUAUGAAAUGAGCUUAUGACACCUACUCUAAGGAAUUCGGCUCAAGUCUGUACUGAAAAGUAAUAUUCAAAGUGCCAACCAAAAUAAUCAAUGUGCAAGUAUAACAAUACCUUGAAGAGUUUUUGCGAAAAUUGAGACGUUAUAUGUAGGCACGUGUUGGAAAAAUUCGUGAAAUCCAAGUAUUAUUUUGUUUGGACUUCAAAAUUUCAUUUGAUAGUCUAAGAGGCAUUAAUUCUUAGCUAGGCUAGAACAUAAGAUAGAUGCAUUAAUUCUUAGGUAGACUAGAAUAUAAGAUGGAUAAAAUAGAUCUCCUAUUCCAAGUUGGUGCAUAGAUAUUUCACAUGUCAAACUUGGAUAAUGAUGAAAAUACAAUGCAAUAACAAUUGAAUUAUCCUACAAUCCCAUAAACAAAUACUUAUAGGACGUAUAACAAAAGCCAGCACCAAAAGAUUUAAUGCAAGAAACCCACACAUAAACUCAUGCAUAAGAGGGUGAAAAAUCUCCAAACGCAUUAGAGGCCACCACGAGUAGGCCUCUCCAUGGAGUAGAUGUUUACGCACGUAGCAGAAUCAUGGAGUAGAUGUUGUUUACGCACGUAGCAGAAUUUAUAGAGGUGUCAAGGAUGAGUAGGGAACAACGUAAGAGUGAUAUGAUACCAGAAAGGCUGGGUCAACCAAGGUGAAGGAUUGCUUAGCAUCAAGAAGCAUCGUUAGACAGUAAGUAAAAGGCUUGCACAAUACCUUAGGGAAUACCACAUGAUUGGGUUGACCAAGUGAAAUAGUUGCAUAAUGGAGAAUGGUCAUUGAAGGGUCACAACUCAAGUAAUCCCGAGUUAUAGAAGAGGGUUGCGACUGGUUUGCACCCUAAAAGGCUCCCAAGAGAAGAGGUUUAGCCAAGGUUAGACUAAAGGCAAAAAUUGAAUCUCUCGCUAGAGUAACAACCAAAUACCCCACCGACUAAACUAACAAUCAAUAACCAAAUACCCACUAAACAAACAACCAAAUACCACCAACUUAAAGAAUACCACACACAAGGGUAAAUUAGGAAACAAGCCAACUAAAAUCUCUCUCUUCAACCAAACAAUCUCUUCAACCUGGACAAAUAUCUCAACCACCUGCACAGUGACAAUCCAAUUGUAGUAGAUAUUGUACGCAUGAAACUACAGCCUUAUGUUUACGAAGUACACAUGCUAGGAAACUUGCACACCCAAUAGCUUCGGUCACCUAGGCUUCACAAACAUAUAUAAGGCCUCGAUCGAUGGGAAGAAACAAUGAUUUAUGAACUGAAGCCUCUUGUGCACUUAGUGUAGGGUUUGCUUGAGUCAUGCAUACCUAAUGUUGAUGAGGUAUUGACAAGUAGAAGCAUAGUUAGUUUGGCCCUAUUGCUUUUGGAGAUGAUCAUUGUUAAGGUUAGGGUUUUGGUAGGUGUCAUGUGUUAUGUUUUGGGUGGGGUUUCUCUAGAAGGGAAUUUUUCUUUGACUUUGAUACCAAUCAGAAGUUUAGGCUGAAAUAAUUCAUACAAUCAAUCUUAUAUAUACACUAGUGCAAUCCUAUCUAUAAAAGGAAAAUCAAUUCUACUACUAUAGUCCUUGUUAGACUAAAAUAUAAGAUAGAUACAUUAAUUCUAGCUAGGCUUGAUAUAAGGUAAGAUAGAAUACAAGUUAAAAUAGAUCCCUUAAUCUAACUGGUCUCAUGUAUUUUCUUUUUGGUCUUCUUUUACUUAAAGUGCUAUCAUCUCAGAGAAGAAAAUCUUUAGAGUCUCUGAAAAAGGUGCCUAGCAUUUUAAUAGCAACAAAUCAAUAUUGCUUUCUUUAAGAAAACUUAUAUUUUCUCUUUCUACAAAAAUUUCUCUUCAGUCAAAUAUUUAAUUUUCUUCAACCCUUACCUUCUGUUUGAUCUAAUAGUUAUUUAUAGGAUAUCUUCUAUUCGAGAUCUCUCAAUUUUCAGCUCUUAAAAGUUGUACAAGAUAGUUAAGAAUUUAUACGAGAAGGAAAAACAUACAAUCUUGCAACAUCACCAAUAAACUGAUCUGAGCACAAAGAUUUUGAGGAACAUGAAUUGUUCUUCAGUUCCUAACUUUUAAAAGAACCUUGAUAUCCGUAUUGCAAAUAGGAAAGUUGCUACAUCUUGUACAUCCUAUUUUCAAAUAUAUUUCGAAUCAUACUUUCAAAAAAAAAAAUAAUAAUAAUAAAUACACACACACACACACACACACACACACACACAUUGAUGCUCAAACUCUUCGAAAUGGUUGGAGUACCCGUGUUGGACACGACACGACAUGGAUAUGUGUAUGAAAUAUGUCUCCGAUCCUCCAAGUGUUAAAAGGACACUUUGCCCUUUUUUUUGCUUCUUCUUCUUCUUCUUCUUUUUUUUUCCCUUUCUGUUUCUACUCUCUAUAAACCUAGCGCCACCUCCGAGAGAGUGGAGAAAAGUGACAACACUAGAUUUUCCCUUCCUUCCCUUUUCCUUUCCUUUUUUUCCUUCUUUCCCUCUCUGUAUCGGUGGUUUAGUGUUAUGUUUGUAUAAAAUGAAAAUAAAUUCAUAUAAUACUACUUAGUGCUCCCCUAAAUCCAAAUUGCAAUCAAGUCCCUCAUUUUUUUUAUAUAACAUUUAGUAAUUAACUUCUCAUAAUUGAAAACUAAAUUCUAAAAUUCUAUUUUAUUCGUCUUAACCUCUUAUUUAAUACUAUUUCCUUCUUUGUGAACAAUUGGUUUUAGUUAUUCAAAAUAACAUCUUGAGUUAGUAAAAAAAUUGAAAUUUGAAAAACGUACUCACGUAUCUGUGUCCAAAAUUUAGAUUCUUUUUAUCCAUGUCUCUGUAUCCUACAUUUUGAAAAAUAAAAAAUCCGACACUUAGAUACGUACCUGUACCUAAUACUCAAUACUCGAGUCCGAGCACCAUAGUUGAUGUAGGAUAGAUUGAAGGAAUCCAACAAGAAGUAGGCAGGAAGAAGGGGAGAAACCAGGGGAGAAGAAGCAAGAAACGGGGAGGAGAAACAGAGAGAGGGUGGGGGGGAGGGGGNNNNNNNNNNNNNNNNNNNGAGGGGGGGAGAAGGCCGGGCAAGAAGAGGAGAAAACUUAACCAAGCAUUAUUUCAUUCAUUCUCAUCAAUUCAUCGUCCCCAAAUUACAUAACAAACCAAGUAUAAAUAGCAAAGCGCUAAACCUGGCCAAGCCAAAAAUACAAUCCCAAUACAUAAAACAUAAAUAAAAGUCUACAAUAAAACAUAUUUAGGUGAUGUCCUCAUCAACUUCCCCGGGCUGGGAAAAGAACUUGACCAUGUCGAGUUGAUAAAUCAAAAGCUGCAGUUGAUAUGAUGUCCAAAAUGCUCCAAUUUAUGCCACGCGGGACGAUCCUUUUGACGAACCGAAUAUCGAAACUUAAUAAAUAACGGCAAAGCAAACUGCAUAUCAUCCCUAAGAAUAUGAUGUAACCUAGGCCAACGAAAAUCGUAUUGAUUUUGAUAAAGUUCCGAUAAAUCUAGAUCAAGCUGCUGGAGUUUCUUUUUAGGACUCCAUGCACAGUCAAACUCAAGUUGACUCACCCAACGAACAAGCAUUGAAUCUUUUCAUCACUGGCCAACAAAAUAUGUUCAUCUAAAAUAACAUCAAUUUUAUCUUAGUGUGCUAUAACAGGUGGUAUUCGAAUAGGCAUAGCAAAUGAUUCAGUAUGGGAGUUUUCAAGUGGAGAUAGAAAAGGAUCAUCAAAAGUGUUAAAAUAGCCUUUGUAAGCAUGAAAGUCCUUAACAAUUAAAAUAGGGCGGUGGGCAUAAUGGGAUGAAAGAUCAUUGACAUAUGUAUUUGGACCAACAUGUUUUGAAGUUUUAAAAGUACCAGCAUUACAGGCUUGCAAUGUAACAUAAUUCCCAAUAUUGAAUUCAAAAUGUCUUUUAUGCAAAUUAACUUGAAGUUGAUACAAUGCAUUACUUGCUUCAAGUUGUUUAUCGAUCUUAAUAUGCAAGUCAUGCAAAUGUGGUACAACUACCUCAUUUGACGUCAAUUCACUACAAUGUGGGGGCAUGCUAAAGGUGUUCUAGGCUUAUAAUCAUGACUAACUUUAAAGGGAUUCAAACCUAGAGAUCGAUUCACAAAAUUGAGAUGUGCAAUUUCAACAAGUGGGAAGAUCAAAUCCCAAUUCCCAAGAUUUUCCUUGAAUAUGACAUGAUUAUGCAACUCAUCAGCACUUUUGGAUUGAUUAAGGACACUACAUACAACACUUGACUGAGAAGUAUCGGGAAGAAGGGGUAAAACAUCUAGAUUCUUCGAAAGACUCCGGAUACCACCUAAGGAGGCGUCCUCAAUAUCAUCCAAGUCAUCAAAAUCUUCAAGUUUAGGUUCAUAGACUAGAUCUUCUAACGAUUCAUCUAUUACAUCCUUUCGUUCUUCUCUGACUAAGGCACAAUUAGGACAUUUGGAAGAGAUGUAGCUAAAGUCCUUACAGCUGAUGCAUAGCAAGUGAGAAGAAGUCAUUGGAAUUUCAAAAAUUUUACCCUUAUUUUCCAAGAUUGGAGGAACAUUAGAUGGAGGAGGCCCUAGAAGGGGCUUAAUGAGAGGAAGUGGAGCCAAUGAAAUAGAAGAAUGGUUGCCGAUACGCCUUCUAUAUGGAGAAGGGGGCCUUGGACUACCACGACCUUUACACUUAUUUUUCCAAAUGGAAAGAACACUAGACGGGAAAGACUCUAUGAUAGACUUAUGUUGAGGUGGCGCAAAUGACAUGGGUGAAUGAUAGUGAUCGCGCUUUUCAGAUGGAGUACUAAUAGUCAACUCAUAAUCCCGAGCUAAAGAAUAAGCGUGAUCAACAGCAGUGACACCUCGAAGGAAAAGCUCACGCCUAAGAUCAUCUCUCAGACCUUGGCUAAACCUACUCAAAGUCAUGAUCUCAUCCUCAAUGACAUGACAUUUGGUUCGAAAUUCCUCAAAUUGUACAAUAUAUUCGGUCACUAACCGAUUCCCUUGUUUAAGAGCAGUCCAUUGAAUAAAUACUUCAAAAUCUAAGCAACCAUUAUAAGUAGGAGUAUCUAAUUCAAUGCCUCUAAAGGAACUCUCCUUACGACGAGGAAGAGAAUGAGUACCGUGAUGGUCAUAAACUUGUUCUUGCCCACGAACUUGAUCCCUAUCACUACGAUCAUAUUGAAAAUAUUUUCGAUCUCUUCCUCGAUGACGAUAAUGUCUAUUAUGGGGUACUUUCGAAUUAUCAAUGUCGAUCGAAUGAAGGAUUUGCUUAGAAUUGUUCAAAUUAGCAGAGAGAGCCUUCCUCUCUUCAAGAGUAGCAGUGAUCUGGGUUUGGAUAGCAGCUAUUUGACAGGUGAGUGCAUCAAAUUGUAAAGGGUCCAUAUUUAGGUACAGAAACUAAAAGUGACAAGACGACCAGUCGACCACUAAGCAUGCACUGUAUUAGCAGCUAAAUGACAUGCAACUGAGAGAUCAAUAAACAAUAAGUGCAAGCAAUGGAAAAUAACUUGUGCCCCUUUUCUUUGGGAUUAAAUAAAUCCAAAUACGGCAAGCUAAUACUGCUGAUAUAUGUAAAAUAGCAACGCAAGAACCAAAUACUAGUCAAACCUAAUCACAUAAAAUAAGUGAGGUAAAAGUGGAAUUUAACGAAGGUAAUGGGUCCAAUUACGUGAGUUUAGGUAAAAACUGGAAUAAUAGCAGCACACAAAAAUAUUGAUGCAAUUUUAAAAUGAAACAGUAAUAAAACCAAAGAUAAAUAAAAACAAUAACCUUCCUUUCGUCUAUUGAAGUAGUUGUGUCAAAUCAACGGGAUUAAAAAGAAAUACCUAAAAGUAAUAGAAAAUAAAUUUUUUUUAACACUUUUUUUUUUUUAGCUUGCUUACAAAAAUCAACCUAAGUUACAUAAAAACAAUAGGGCAAUAAUUAAGCCCAAAUUAAAACAAAUUUCAAAUCACACAUGCCCAAGCCCAGAAUAUUAACUUUUAAAGUACAGCCCGAUUGAAAAUAUAUGCCCAAUUUCACGGCAAAUCUAGAAUGACUGUUGGCGGUGCUAUAGAGUUGGAAGCUGCUGGUGGAGGUGACUAACGCAGCUCGAGGGGAGUUAACUUUUGGGUCGUCGAUCAAGGAACAGUCGGUGUUUAGUGAAAUUUUUGGGUUACUGUAUUGCUAGUGUUUACUAUUAAUUGUAUGGAAUUGGGUGUCUCGCAGGUUGGGAUUAUAGUUGGUGGUUUACGUUGGUGGAGUUGUCGGAGAUGGACGGUAGUGGACUGUUGGAGAGUGGUGAGUCUUUUGGGUGGUGGCUGUGUGGACGGUUAUUAUGGGUUUAAUGAUUAUGGGCAGUUGCAAUUUUGAUGCAAUGAUUGCUAGCAGCGGCUGAGGUUAGGUUGGGGAUUGUGUAUGUAUGGGCUGUUGCUGUUGACAUGGUGAAGGGGAUUUGGGUUUGGGUAGUUGAUGUUAAUGGGUGGCGUUCGAGAAUUUGAGGGUCGCGAUUUGGGGAAGUUGUCGGCAGUUAUCGUUGCUUCUAUCAGUCAUGGGUUUAGUGUGGUCGGAAUAGUGGGCUGUGUGGUGGGAUUUAUUUUGGUAUAAUAGGUGAAGGUGCUGUAAGUUGCAGGGGUUGUGUGUAUGUGCGUGUACGGUUACUAGGUUUUGUAGCAAGGGAUGAAGUUUGAAGAUGGUGAUACUAGGAUAUGCAGGUUCUGGGAUGCAGAAAAAUGACCGAAUCCAGGUUGAGUUCUGAUACCACUUUGAUGUAAGAUAGAUUGAAGGAAUCCAGCAAGAAGAAGGGGAGAAACCAGGGGAGAAGAAGCAAGAAACGAGGAGGAGAAAAAGAGAGAGAGUUGGAGGAAGAAGGCCAGGGAAGAAGAGGAGAAAACUUAACCAAGCAUCAAACUUAACCAAGCAUCAUUUCAUUCAUCUCAUCAAUUCAUCGUCCGCAAAUUACACAACAAACCAAGUAUAAAUAGCAAAGCAAUAAACCUAAAGAAAAAGGGUUGGGCCAAGCCCAAUACAUAAAACAUAAAUAAAAGUCUACAACAUAACAUAUUUAGGUGAUAUCCUCAUCAAUAGUGUAUAUAUAUAUAUAUAUUCGAAUCAUAUACUGUUCCCUUAAGAACUUUACUGCUUCUUACGAUUUUGUUGCAAGUAACAUGUUGGAAGCUCUUACUCUUCGAAAUUAAAGAGUAGUCGUUUAUGAAGAAAUGUGAGCAUUAAAAAAGAAUUAUAAAUGGGGAAUUGCUGAUCUCGCCGGAGAAGAAAUUGAUAUGAUUAGUGAAACGGAAGGUAUAUGGUUGGGGAGAGUUCAAAUAUAUAAGGGAAGACUUGCGGAAAGGGGUUUAAGCAAAUUUAUGGAGUAAAUUUUAUUUAUUUUUUUGCGUGUGUAGCCAACAUAACUUAAUUCUAGUCCUAUUAUCUUUUGUAGCAAAUAUAAACUAAAUAUAUGUGUAACUAGACGUAAAGAAUGUGUUCGUACAUGGCGAUUUAGAGGAAGUAAAGGUCGGAAAAAAAUAAAAUUAAAUUAAACGGUGAAUGAGAAUUGUAACAACAAACUUUUGGUUUUAAUUUUCUACUUAAUUUGUAUUGAAUUGGUGGUUACAAAGCCUUAAUGCCUAUUGUAACAUACUUUGUGCUAAAUACAAAAUUAACUAAAAAAAUUGAACCCCCACUCCAUUUUUCUUUUUUCGAAUCUGCAGCUGGUAUUCUACGGGUGUACACUGGGUAAACCCUCGGAAUAACGCAAUAGCCUACAAACCACGUCAACCAGGUAAAUUGUACUAGGCAAGCCCGAUGCGACAUGCUCCACCAAAUAAGUGUUGGUAGGGAGAAUCGAACUCGUGACCAAAGGCUUCCACGCUCAUCUACUCCACUAACUCGGCCACCCCAUAAGGGGCAACUCCCCCUUCAUUGCUAUAUAAGGAGAUGUUUUCCUCCUUAUUCCGCACACCAAAAAUUGAGAUUUCUCUACUUUCUCUAAAUUUCUCUAGUCUCUCUUUGUUUCAAGAGUUUUAUUCUUAGUAGCUUAGAUAGUUUUUUUAUUUUAGAACUCCCCCUCCAUUGCUAUAUAAGGAGGUGUUUUCCUCCUUAUUCCGCACACCAAAAAUUGAGAUUUCUGUACUUUCUCUAAAUUUCUCUCGUCUCUCUUUGUUUCAAGAGUUUUAUUCUUAGUAGCUUAGAUAGUUUUUUAUUUUAGCUCGAUGAUAGAAGUGUGAACAUUCUCGUUCGCCUAAAGUGCUAACGAGGUGCUAGUCAACUGCUUUCAACCAUUGUAUCUUAAGAAAUAGUCGCCAUUUGUCAUCUUACACCAUUUACAAAGAGCAGUUGAAACAGUAGCAAGAUCAGGCGUCGAGUUGAGAUCUUGAAGGGCAUAGAGGAAGAUGAAUCAGACUCACGAUGAUGACGAAUUUCAUACACAAGACCAGGUUUAAACCUUUCUACAACUGUCGGGGAUCCAGAAAAGCUAGGCUAAAGGUAAGAUGUAGGUGAUAGUUCAACGUGAGAUGGAAAAAAUAAUGUUGUUCAAAGAAAACCACUCUCCUAGAAAAUAUGGAUACGUUGAGCAUUUGGGUCAUAGCAAACAUAAUCCUUUUGAGAGGUAGCAUGACCAAAAAAAGUACAUUUAACAGAUUGAACAGUAAAUUUAUGUUGCUUAUGCCCAGGAAGAUGGAUAAAACGAAUACAUCCAAAUGUAUGAAAAUCAGAAUAAGAAGGCAAAUGAUAAAACUUAAAGUAAGGGGAAACCUGAUUCAAAGUAGGGAAGGUAAACGAUUUAUAAAUAAACUGCAGUUGAAAGUGCUUCAGACCAAAAUCAAGGAGAGACAAACGAUUCUAGUGAGAGAUUUCUUACCACACCCAGAAGACAAUGGCUUUUUCUCUCAACAACACAAUUGUGUUAUGGCGUCGAAGGACGAGCGAUGAGAGAUGAUGCCUUUGCUUUGAAGAAAGUCUUGAAAUUCAUUGGACAUAUAUUCCCCUCAAGAAUCAUAUCGCACGAUCUUGAUGCUGGCAGAGAAUUAAAUUUCAAGAAGGGCAAGAAAGUGCCUAAAGACUAAAAAUACUCCUGCCUUUGCCAAUAAAAAAUAAAACCUAGUAAAGCGACUAAAAUCGUCAAUGAACGUAACAAAGUACUUAUAACGAGCUUGAGAAAUAAUAGGUGAAAUCUCCCAUACAUUACUAUGAAUAAUAUCAAAAUAUUGUGUGGCAUGAAAUCCAUGAGAAGGAAAUGGUAAAACCUUUGUUUUUCCAAUUUUGCAAGCGGUACAAUCAAAAGAGAGAUCAAGAGAAAAACAAGUUUUACUUUCCAAUAAACCAAAAUUAAAUAAAGUACGAAGUACAUAUGAAUUUGGAUGACCUAGACGUCUAUGCCACAGCUCAUUGCCAAGGCUAAUAGCAUUACAUGCAAAGGAACGUGAAAUAGAACUAGGAAAAACCGGGAAAGGAGAAAUGUGUAAAGGAAAGAGUUGUCCUACUUUAGGCACCUUUGUAAGCAUCUUCCUGGACACUGGAUCCUGCACAACACAACUAGAACGAGAAAAAUGGACAUCACAAUUAUUAUCAGCCAAUUGACCAACAGAGAUUAAAUUCAUAAGAGACUAGAAGAUAUAAAAACAUUAGUUAAGGAAGAAGAAAAAUCGCCAAUAGCACUAAUAGGUAGAGAAUUAUCGUUAGCAGUGUGAAUUCAAAGAUCACCAUCAUACUCUCUAAUGUUGGAAAGAGGAUCAUAUGAUUAGAGGCUCCGAAGUUUUAAAAAAAAAAAAAAAAGCUUAGAAGAAACGGUAUGAAUACUCGAGAGACCAUAUGCAGAAAAAGCGGAAUAGAUUAUCUGUUGUACCAUUUUAGGAGUGACACUGGUUGGGUUUGCUAGGGCAAUCAUAACACUGAUAGGAACAAUUGGCGAGGCAGUGGGCAACGCAGCGGAGCUAUUGGCACCAACGGAGGCAUAAUAUGUAGUGCUAUGCUUCCUUUCAAGUCAAAUGGGACAAAAGGAGAUGUGAUGACCCUGUUUAUUGCAAUAGUUACAAUGUUUCUUGGGACAAUCCAGAGCAAUGUGACCAAAGGCUUUACUGUUAUAACAUUGGAUAGCACGUAUGUCUCGAAACUUAUUCCUUCCUUGUGUUGCAUAAGCGACAGUAAUAGGAGAAUUAACGGUGGCCCCAUAUUCUAUAGUAGCUUGAUUGACGAUACGUUGCUCCUCGCAAAGAAGUUCACUCAAGCAAGCAUCUAAAAAUGGUACCGGAUGACUAUUCAUUAGAUUAGAGCAUGCAACCUCAAAGUCAAGACGUAGCUUCAUCAAGAAUUGGUCUCUCUUGCUUGUUUCAUGCACUAUUUGAACAGCAAAUAAGGCAAUAGCAGGAACAUUAGCAUAAAUAAUGUCUAAAUACUCAACCCAAAGAUUUUGAAAAAUAGAAGAAUAAUCCUCAGAUCGAGAGGCUUCCCUAUGUAAAAUUAGCCAACUUGUAUUUCAAUCCAAGUCAGAUUGUCUUGUUUGUAAACCUUACUAAAGUAAUCUCACAUAUCAGUAGUCAUUUUAUAAGGUCUCAAAUUAAAAACAAGGUGAUGUUCAACUGAACCAAUGAUCCAAGUCAUAACUCAGACAUCCUUGAUUUCCCAUUUGGAUAAAUGCUCCACAUCUUUAGGGGCAAGAUUGCUUCCAUCAAGAUGACCCGGCAACUCUUUUCUUUUAAUAAAUAAUUGAAAUUGAAAUUUCCAAGCUGAAUUAUUUUUGCUAUUAAAACAAGUAGGAAAAAAUUCAAUUUAUUGGAUGACAUGAUUAAUAAUGCAGCUCUCUAAGAGUAAAACAAAGAACCCAGACAAAAUAAAUGCAGCUCUCUAAGAGUAAAACAAAGAACCCAGACAAAAUAAAUAUAAAACCGGCCUAGACUAAAAGAACAUAUUGACCAACAUGCAACCAAGAGAAAGCGUCGACCAAAUUCACAAAAAAUUCAAGAAACUUGAACCAAACUAGCAAAAUAUUGACCAAAGGCAAAAUCGUGCACACCAAAUGGGUGAAUGAUAAAUACCCAACCAAAAUCGCAAAAGGAGUUAAAAACCAAAGUCACCGGAGGCUGGAAUACGCAAAUAUGAGAGGCCGAAUAACAAGAGGAGUUACCGACUAGAGACACCAGAGGAUGGAAUACCUAGAUGAAAAGCCAAAUUCCACUUUUCAAAUUUUUGACGCCCACAAAGCACGAGGAGCGAGCAACAGCCAAUCUGAAAUUACAGUCUGAAGCCUUCAACAACCGAAAAGGAGGAAACUAGGUGAACAAAAACUAAUCAAGUUAGGCGCCAAAGCUCUGAUACGAUGUUAAGAGCCGAAAUCUGCGAGAGAAAAUAGUUUAAUUUUCUGAAAACUCGUUUAUUCUUUUUGCCUCUUUUGUCCAAUAUGUGUGCGUGUGUGUAUACACAGAUUACAAUGAAACUAUAUAUUUUGCAAUUUCUAAGAAUCGGCUAUCAUUAACCGAAAGAUAAAUUCCAUAAUUAUCUAUAGUAACAGAUAUACGGAGGAUUGCAUUAGUGACAUAUAGGUGAGCCCAAUAGAAUGCAACGAAUAAAGAACCAAAUUGAGAAAGAAAGAGAAAGGGAAGGAAAGAGAGGAAGAGAGAGAAGAAAUAAGAGAAUAUAGUAUGAAAUUGGGGAGAGAGUAUAAUUUAUAUAUAAACAAAGUUUGAGUAUUACAAUGAAUAGAUUCUUUAUAUAGAGUCUAAUCAAACUUAAUUUGAGAAGGACAAUAAUCUUAUUCUAGUCAAAUUAGAAAAUUAAAAUAAACUAAUCUAAUCAUAACAAACAUAACUUAUGUCAAAUUCUAUUUUAAAAUUCUAUUUAAAUCUUAUAUUUAUUCUUUUCAUUUUCCAUCACUUCUUUCCAAAUGAGAAAACUCGACUCCUACGAAAUAUACUGCAAGACGAACUUUCUUAUUGAUCAAAUGAUCUAACCAAAGAACUUUUAAUGAAGUAACAAUAGGGAACUCCAAAAAAAUAACAACCCAUGCAACUCAUCCACAAAAAUUAUAAGAAAUCCAAAUGGUGUUUUCCAUACCUUUUUCAUCCCUCUGGGUUAGAGGGAAGUUCAAAACUUAGCUAUGCCCUUCUUAAUUCUAGAAACCCAAAAGCUUGUGAACACAUUCAACCAACCAGAAAGCAUGAGUAACUUGAUGCUAGUGCAUUGAUAGAUUGAUUCACAGAAACAGAUGAGUGCAAUCCUUAUAGCUCGAAUGUAGGAAAAAUUUUGCUGCACCGAAAACAAAAUAUUCAUUUAAAUAUGAUGGUCAAAUAGAUUAUUUUCAUCUAAGCUAUCUAAACAUUUUUUUUCCUUUCAAAAGCUGUGCAAAAGAAACACGUAAUAACGAGGCUUAAAAAUUAUUCAUCAAAAACAAGCAUUAUUUUCAUUAUUUAAAUAAAUUUUUCUUUUUAUCUUAACUUGAAAAAUCAGGAAAAGGUGCAAUAGAGAUCGGAGCUAAAAUAACAUGAUGGUAACUAGUAGGCAACAAUCAAAUGUCAAUAGGAAAAUUAUAUGAUCGAAUAGUGGCCUUGAGAUAAAAUGGCAAUCCGAAGAAUAUCGCGUAGCUGAGGUAACAUUAGAACAAAGUCGGUUGUAAAUUGGCACAUAGGAGUAGGCGAUAACAAUUCGGCACGAAGGUGAGGAUGUGUAGAAUGUCUGGUUUAGGUGGCAACGCUUAAGGCAAUUCCUCAAUGGUAUCAAAUUUAACUAUGUCAAAAACAUGUACGAGGGGAUACAAGACAAUUCUCAAAAACUUCAUUCUUACCAUUAGAAUAUUCAAUAGGCUCAUAAAUAAAAUCCUCAUUUUCUUGAUCAUGAUAAAGACUAACAUAAUCGGACAUUGGAAGUGAUCAGGACUGCAAUGGUAAGCCUAGUGUGCUUGGCAAAGAUGGAAGGAUAUAUCCCAUAGGUUGGCUUUCAGGUAAGCUUCAUCAAGGAUUGGGAUUCGAGAAUGUCGUCAUGCUUUUUUCAGAAUUUAAAUCGUUGAGAAACCCAAACUCUAGGACAUGGAUAUCUUUAUAAAUAUCACACCUAUGUAAUAGUUAUAAGAAUUAAACCAUUAAGAAACUUGAACUCUGAGACGUGGAGAUCUUUAUAAUUAUCAUAACUGUGUAAUAGUUAUUCAAAGUGGGCUAGAUACUAGCUAAUAAUAGAUGUACUUUGCCAAAGUGCAAAAAGAAUAGAACUAGGGGCUUGGAGUUGUUAUAUGAAUCGUAUGUGGUGUUGAUUAUUUGAAAUAGCUAUAAAUUAUCAUGUAGCACACUUAACAAAACUCUAAAACCGAAUCAAAUAAUUUUUGUUUUUAAUUAAACCGAACAAAAGAAAAUGAAAAAUUUGACCAAUUAACAACUAAAAGUAAAUUUUAUUUAUUUAAUUAAUUUUUAAAAAAAAAAAUCGAAAUUGCGAAACACUUGAAAAAAGUAAAGGUAUUAAGAUAGUAAAAAGUCUACAAGAGCAAUUGAUAUGGAGCCAACUGUAGGCAUAAUAAUUAUUCAAGCAUUCAAGAUUCCAUGCGAGAAUCGGAUUACAUCAGUGUGGCUCCUUGAUCGGAAUUAACAACAAAGUACCUAUCAAUAGUUUUUUUUCUUUUUGGAUUUUUUUUUUCUUGUAACUAACAAGAACAAACGUAAAUAACUAAGGAAUGAACAAUUCGGCCUUUUAUUUUUAUAUUUUUAAAAAAAUAAUAAUAAGACGUAACCAACUAUAGCUUUGUUGGGGAACAACUCCGACUUACGUGAUAAAUGAAAAAAAAAAUGUUUUUGUAACAAUAAGUCGCUGUUUGGGCUGCAUUCUGAAAAAAAUGCAUUUUUCUCUCAUCUUUUCAACCAUACAUUCCCAUAAAAUAAUAUUACACGUAAAUUCAAAACUUUUUCUUAUUUUUUAAUCACACAAUUUUUUUAAAAAAUUACUAUUCAAAAAUAAAUUUUUCUCCAAAAUGCAUUUUAGUUGGAGCCCAAACAUGGGCUAAGUAAAAGCUAAAACAAAGUGAGAAACAUCUUUUGUCAACUAAGUUGUUUUUUAUUUUUUAUUUUUUUUUCAAUUGCUGAUUUGGGGGAAUUUUUUAUGGUUUAAGGUGGCUAUGAUUGUAAGUGUAUAAGUUUUAAUUUUGAAAAAGAAAUUUUAGUCAAAGAAAAAUGAGUUGCUCUAAUAACAAAUUGAUGUAGAACAUAAUGAACAAAGAACAAGUUUAGAUAAAAAGAGAAGGAGAAGAGAAGAGAGAUGAAAGAGAAGAGAAUAUAGAAAAAAUUGGGGAAGAAAAGUAUUAAUUUAUUUAAUAAUUAAACUUGAAGUAUGAAAAUGAAUAGACAAGCUUUAUAUAAAGUCUAAGCAAACCUAAUUUGAGAAGGAAAUAACAAUCCAAUUAUAGUUAGACCAGAAAACUAUAAUAAAUUAAUCCGAUCAAAACAAACAUGAUUUGAAAUUAAAUUCUUCAUUAAAAUCCGAUAUUUAUUCUUAUCACCAUUGUCCCUCAGUAGGCAUAAGGCGGAUUCCCAAGCUUGGGUUCUAGUUGAUAUAGGGCUGAUUGUAUUAGUUCCAUGGCAUAGUAGAGAUAUGGUUGCUUAGGUCAAGAAUGUUCCAAUAGGACUUAACUUAUUUUUAUCCAUUUUUCUUUUCUUUUCUCUUAUUUUCUAGUUCAGAGAUAUGGGGAGAGAUUGGGAUAUUUACCACAAAGAAUUGAUGAAGUAUUGGAAAAUGUACUGUCAUUAUUGUAUGUUAGUACUUUCACUAUAAUUUGGAUUAGUUCGUUAUAUGCAACAGUUGUAUACAUACUGCAUUUGUCACUCCAACGGCAAAUUUUUUUAUUUGUGGAUGGAACUUUCAUGUUAAACUUUUGACCUUAGGAUAUAGCCUUCAGUGUACAUUAACAUUGCUAACUAUGAUUUAUAAAAUCAAUGGUUCACUGUCGCUGUUUUACUUGCACUUUUUAAAUUGGUGGUGAAGUGAAUAGUAAUAUUCCCGUGUUUGUGUUUUAGGUAGUUUUUGAAUUCUACGUAAUGAUUGCACUUUUUUAUAGUGUGAGGAAUUAUGGCUUGGGAAAGUACACAUACCUCGGAUAUCAAAAGUUCCAGGAAUAUCAAAAUUGGCUUCUUACUCUCUGUCCAUUAUGGAUGGCAAACGAGUGAGUAACUAGUAAUCUUCUCUCGCUUACAAACUACAUACUCAGGGUAUGUUGGUAUGCAGUAGUGGAUAGUACAAUGAACAAUAUUUUCCCUCUGUCUUUUUUAUUUAACACUGUCGGAUUACUAUCCAACAUGCUAUCAAAAUUAUGAAAGUGUACACCAUGUUUCAGUGACUUUGAUUGAUGAUCUUCAGAUCUCUGCCUAAUGCACCUCAAACUCCCAAUCUUUCUGAUUUCAGGCAAGAAUAACGUGCAAUGAUCUCUGUGAUCAUGUGUGGGAAUUUCAUUUCACUGAGGUAUAUACUUCAUUCUUAUUGGUGUAGCCAAUCCUUGCAUGUUUCUGAUGAAGCUCUAGAAAAUUUACUUUGAAAUUUUUAGGUUCAGCUAAACAUGCUCAUAGUCAUGUACGGUUGCUCUAAAAGAUGUGUUAGGUGCAGGCACUUUCCUCAGUUGCCAUCUCUAGAAAACCAUCAAGUCCCCUAAUUUUUGUUUCUCAUUUACCUUCGUUUAGCCGCUUUAGUUCUUUCCUAUUUUAUGUUCUAUUUCAAUUUUGCUUCCGCAAUUUGUUUUCAUGUUUCAACCUACACAAACUGUUAAAUUUUCUCAAAUGUCAGAAGUGUUGAAGACUGAAUCUCAUAUGCGUGACAACUCUUUCAUUAACCCAGUCUUUCGUUUCUGCAUUCCCAACUUCUUUGUUUGCUGCAAAUGCAGCCCAAGUUCAUAUUGUCUCUUAGAUUAGGCAACCAAGAUUAUUUGGAUAAUUAAAUUCGAACUAUCUCAAGAAACACUUAAAUUAGUGUUCCAUUUUUAAUUACCUUUACGGGAAACUCCCCUAAGAAAGUAUUUACUUGAUGUUCAUUCUUUUAUGCAGCUCCGAGCUGCCAUAGUUCUUCUAUAUUUAUAUUUCAGCUGAUUCUAUAGAAAUAUGGCUUUGCUAUUUGUUUUCAUAAAAUGUAAAGAUCCCAAGUUGUUUGAUUAGCUGUCAUAUACUUCCACAGUCCUUGAAAGUAAAACUCCCAACUCGAGCCAGAGCUUACAAAUUUAUCAUGUGCCAUGUCUUUUUAGUUUUUAUUUUUCUUCUCUUUGGGUACAUAUCUUUUAGGUUCUCCCUUACCCCGUCUUCGCAGGUAGUAGAUACAGCAGCUAAAACUUUACUGUUCCAGUUUCUACCAAAUUAUUCAUACAAUUCCAAAUUAUGAAGAAAAAGUUCCAUUAGUAUUUUCAUUUAUUAUUUACCUUUCUUUUGACAUUUAAUCCUUUUCUGAUGGGCUAUGUAGUUAGUUGCUCAAGAAGCUAUUACUUCAUGGACUAAUUAAUGCUGCUGUAUAAACUUUUUUCGAACCUAGAUUAUAUUUCAAUUUGUCAGGAUGAAUGACCACAAAUUUAUUAAGGAUAAGACUUUAGUUAUCGUUCUAUAUUAUGCUCAUUGUCCUCAAGACAAUGUAGACAAAAUCAAAGCAUGGGCCCCAAAAAAUGAUUAAUUUGAUGAUCUUACCCGGAUAUUCUGAUGAUCUCCUCUUUCUGUAGGAUGCUCCUGAAUAUUGGCGAAAUCUUGAUCCUUACUGGACAGGCACAGGAAGUACAUUGCGCCGGUAUUUCCAUCCAGAUGGAAGCAUAUCUGCAGAUCCUGGUGAUCUGGUAUGGGGCGGCCACGAGUCAUGCUACACUACAGUUACCGGAUUGCUGGAAGAUGGAGAAAUACGAGAACAUUAUGUGAGAAUCAAUCGUUGGCCUCAAUUACAUGUUUUGAGGAAGCCCGAUUGGGGUUGGGAAUUAUCAAACCAUCUCUACUGCUACACUAGUGUCCCUGAUGCCGAAAAGGAAGAUGGAACGGGUCCUCUGUUUCCAGUUUUUUAGUCUAGUUUUGAGGGUGUUUUAUGUUUGAUUAAUGUUAUAGACUCUGUUCUGGCAAGGAGAUUUUGUUUUAUGUAUGUAUGCAUGUAUAUAUUGGUAAACAUGUCGUGUUUAUUUCAAUGAAAAAAUUUCAUAUGAAUCUAAAUGGGCAUGGCUGUCUUGGGAAAAAAACACGGGGGAUUUGUGUAUCUAUAUUGGAUUAAACUACUUGUACAUGACACCCCCUAUGUGUAAAAAAUUUGGCAGUUGAUUGGAAAAAGUGUCGUGAAGAUAAACGUACUCACAUGGAUGUAAAUCACCGUGUCAAUCUUUAUGUACUUAUAGCAUUGUCCAUUUAUAUUUUCUAUUAACAUUACAACUUUAAAAAACAAAUAUGCUAUAGUGCUAGGAAGGUUGACACAAUGUCACGUGAUAUAUUAUAUUAUUGAACAUUUUAUAAUAAAAUCAACUUUUCCAUCCAAUCAUCUACCAUCAUUUAUCUUUGCAUUUGUCAAUAUCUUUCAAACAAAGUGGCAUGAUCUUUUUAAAAACAUUUAAAUAUAAGAAGAUAGAAAGACUUGGCCUAUGAGAGUAACAAAAAAAAUUAUUGUGGUCUUUCCUCUUUGAAAUGAAGAAAGAGUAAUUCUAUUUCACUUCCCUGAAAUUACAACGUCAAGUUUUAAUUUGAUAUUAAUUGAUUGAUAGAAUUAAAAAACUCGUUUAAUUUCAAAUUUCAUUUGACAUAUUAUGAGAGUGUUUGAUGGGUAUUUUUAUGAAAAAAUGCAUUUUAAAAUAAUAAAUUGAUAUGAAAUGUGUAGUUGAGAAAUGAGGAAAUUUUUUUUUUAUAUGUAAUAUUAUUUUAAUAAAGAAUGUGUAAUUAAAAAAAAGUGAAAAAAAUACAUUUUAAAAAAAAUAGCUACCAAAGGGCACCUAUAUAGUGCCAUUUAGACUAGGAUGCAAUCCCUAGGGAACACUUUACCUUCUUCCGGACUCCCAACGCCCCACCCUAACCCAACAAAACACACCCACCACUGAAAAUCGCCGCCCCUAUUCACCCACCUGCCAUCCGGAAAUGGCUCGUUAUCACUGUACACGAAUCCACCUACUCCCCCAUCCUCCUUUCUCUCCCUCAAUCACUCAGCCCUCAGGCAGUUUAUCUAUAAAACUCACCGGGUCACCUCCGAGUUUUCUUGAAUAUUUGACUCAGCUCUUCCAAUGGAGGUCGAAACUCGCGCUCCUGCAGCCUUUGAUACUUCUCAUUUUUCUUCUACUCCCAUAAACCACUCGGAGAUUUGCGACGUUGAGCUUCAAUGCCGUAGAUGCCCGGCUACUCGAAUGAAGCUCUGGAACAGCACGAAGUUGAAUCACCAGCCUCCAAUCUUAAUAAUUAUUGGAAUGAAUACGCAAAAUUGAAAGUCAAUAAUUAUUGGAAUAAAUAAGUUUUCAUAUAAUAUUAAGGAGAAACAGAUUGAAUGAUUGGUCGAAAAUGAAAAGAACUCUUUCUUUUAUCAGGCCCAUUGUGAUGCUAGAAAGAGGGUUUGAAUUUUGGUAUUUUUCUUACAUUUCAAAUUGU
RNAcentral lists this long non-coding RNA (25570 nucleotides) under Olea europaea (common olive). Its description in RNAcentral is "long non-coding RNA (OEUR_LNC008214)". Lineage: Eukaryota; Viridiplantae; Streptophyta; Magnoliopsida; Lamiales; Oleaceae. The record is from RNAcentral.